This 89-nucleotide signal recognition particle RNA is filed under the name marine eukaryotic metagenome. RNAcentral describes it as "Bacterial small signal recognition particle RNA". It matches the Rfam family "Bacterial small signal recognition particle RNA". Rfam says of the family: The signal recognition particle (SRP) is a universally conserved ribonucleoprotein involved in the co-translational targeting of proteins to membranes. The record is from RNAcentral.
UGGUCCCCUCGCGACAAUAAACCGUGAACCCGGUCAGGCCUGGAAGGGAGCAGCCGCAGCGGUGGACUUGGGCGCCGGGGUGUGGCUGG